GUAUGAUUGCUGAAAUUUUUUUCUUACAUGCAUAGGUUCAAUAUUAUUGUUCAUAUGUUUGACAUAUGAAAGAUAAUUAGAUCUGAUUUUAAUUGAUUACAUAUGUGAUAUGUUAGAUUAAUCUCUUAGUAGCUUAGUAAUUGAAUUGGGAUAAUCACCAUGGCCAUCUGAUCAUAGAAAGAUGAAGAGAUUAAAGUCUCUCUCU
RNAcentral lists this long non-coding RNA (205 nucleotides) under Elaeis guineensis (African oil palm). RNAcentral describes it as "long non-coding RNA (EGUI_LNC067638)". The record is from RNAcentral. Lineage: Eukaryota; Viridiplantae; Streptophyta; Magnoliopsida; Arecales; Arecaceae.